AAAUUGAAGAGUUUGAUCAUGGCUCAGAUUGAACGCUGGCGGCAGGCUUAACACAUGCAAGUCGAACGGUAACAGGAAGAAGCUUGCUUCUUUGCUGACGAGUGGCGGACGGGUGAGUAAUGUCUGGGAAACUGCCUGAUGGAGGGGGAUAACUACUGGAAACGGUAGCUAAUACCGCAUAACGUCGCAAGACCAAAGAGGGGGACCUUCGGGCCUCUUGCCAUCGGAUGUGCCCAGAUGGGAUUAGCUAGUAGGUGGGGUAACGGCUCACC
RNAcentral lists this ribosomal RNA (272 nucleotides) under Escherichia coli. RNAcentral's name for it is "partial 16S ribosomal RNA". It matches the Rfam family "Bacterial small subunit ribosomal RNA", at positions 1 to 269 of the family's 1533-position model. The record is from RNAcentral. Lineage: Bacteria; Pseudomonadati; Pseudomonadota; Gammaproteobacteria; Enterobacterales; Enterobacteriaceae.